AUUUCAUUUACAUGUUUUCAAGCUGCAAGUCCAGACCUAAUCCAAGAGUCAAGAUCAACAAUCUGCAACUUAAUUCACUCAGUGGACAAACUGCAUGCAGCUAGCCCAUGUGAGAAGAAGAACCUAGUUAUGUUCUCAGGAUCUUAUGAAAGCAGAGAGACGAGAGAGACAAACUCCAGUGUUACACGACCCUUGGACCUCGUGUUGAUGACAAAAUG
RNAcentral lists this unclassified non-coding RNA (218 nucleotides) under Hevea brasiliensis (rubber tree). Lineage: Eukaryota; Viridiplantae; Streptophyta; Magnoliopsida; Malpighiales; Euphorbiaceae. The record is from RNAcentral.